CAAAGUGACAAUUUUUUUUUAGCUAGAGGGGCUCCUGGAUGGCUCAGUUAUUUGAGCCUCCAACUUCAGCUCAGGUCAUGAUCUCACAGUUGGUGAGUUCCAACCCCACAUAAGGCUCACUGCUGUCAGCCUGUUAGCCUGCAGCCUGCUUCGGAUCCUCUGUCCCCCUCUCUGUGCUCCUCCCCAGCUUGUGCUCACCCCAAAAUAAAUAAAUAGCAAAUAGUUUAUGAGACACUAGCCUAAUUAUUUGUCAUGUAUAAGAGCUGAUUGCACCUCAGGGCCUUGGGCAAAGCCUCCUGUGCAUCUGACAUCCUCUAGUCCUCACAAGAAUCCUGUGAGGUGUAAACAGUGUUACAAUACCUAUUUUACACAUGAAUGGACCCAGGAAUUCUUUUUGGGGAGAAGAAUGAAUGAAGUUACUUUUCUAAGCUUGUUUAGCCAGGAAACCGGUGAAGCCAUGUUUCAAACCCAGGCAGUCCCUUGCUAUUUCAGCUCCCUGGUUCCGUGGCUCAUUUUUCAAUGAUGACAAAAUAGGUGCACUAAUGAUUUUACUUCAUUGUGAGGACUGAGAAGGAAACAAAAGUAUCUAAAAAUCUAAACCAGCCUUGUUCUUUCUCAUCAUUCAUUUUCACCUAAUAAGUUUCAGGAUAUGUAGGCGUCAAGCACUGCUCCAGAAACUGGGAUACAAGUACAAACAUGGCCCCUGUGAAGUCUCAUGGAGUCCAUGAAUUGUAGCAAUUCUGGGAUACAUGUAACAGUGCAAGGGCACACAAUUUACAGUAGCUAUUUUGACAGGCAGCUGGAGCAGGGGUUGGGGUCUCAGCAGGGGAGUCACUUCAGAAAACCUUCAUGGACUACUGUGCAUUUAAUCCACGUCUUGAAAUGUUGGUCCUUUUUUUCUAGAUAAACAAAGGUGGGCGACAGGGAAAGAAGUUUGCAAGUUACAGAAAUGAAAAAUAUGAAGGCAAGAAGAUGUUCUAAAAGAGCAGAUGUUUUCAAAGGAAAUGGAGCACUUGAAAUGCCAAAACUUUUACUGAUCAGUUUCCCCUUCCGGAGUCCUAUUCUUAUGAAAUCACUGCCUUGCUUUUGUUGGAAAAUUUUAGAACUGAAUUUAUCAGAAUGUCCGGGAUGGCAAGGAUUUACAGAGCGCUUUUCUAAGUCCGAGGCCACACAAAUGUGUUUCCAGUCAUUUAAGUCAAAAUUGGACCUUCCAAAUGGAGUUGCUGUGUACCUAUUUCCAUCCUUAAACCACACAUUUGGCUCCCAAAUCAAGUAAUUAUGUGUACAAAGGGAUCUGGGAAGUGCAAUCACUUCACUGGCACAUGUAAGUAAAAUAUGGAUGCUCAAUUUCCAUCGUAAUGCAUGCAAAUGAUAGACCCCCACACACAGGCAUUAUAACUGCCCUACGCACAGCCUGUCACUUUGGCUUUUGAAUUUAAAGAGAUAUCCUAUUCCUCUGAGCAUGUUGAACAACAUUCAGCAGAAUUCUCUCCAAUUCUAUUUUUGUUUAAAUCUCUUACGUUCAUU
This 1527-nucleotide long non-coding RNA is filed under the name Felis catus (domestic cat). RNAcentral's name for it is "lncRNA (ENSFCAG00000051721.1)". Lineage: Eukaryota; Metazoa; Chordata; Mammalia; Carnivora; Felidae. The record is from RNAcentral.